RNAcentral lists this ribosomal RNA (380 nucleotides) under uncultured euryarchaeote. RNAcentral describes it as "bacterial SSU rRNA". It matches the Rfam family "Archaeal small subunit ribosomal RNA", at positions 471 to 851 of the family's 1478-position model. Lineage: Archaea; Methanobacteriati; Methanobacteriota. The record is from RNAcentral.
UAAUACUAGCGGUCCGAGUCGCAGCCAUUUUUAUUGGGUCUAAAACAUCCGUAGCUUGCUUGAUAAGUUUCUUGUGAAAUUUUAUGUCUUAAACAUGAAGCGUGCAAGAAGUACUGUCAAGCUAGAGACUGGUAGACGUAAGAAGUACGUUCAGAGUAGCGGUAAAAUGUGUUAAUCCUGAACGGACUCACAAAGCGAAGGCAUCUUACGAGAGCAGUUCUGACAGUAAGGGAUGAAGGCUAGGGGCGCAAAACGGAUUAGAUACCCGUGUAGUCCUAGCAGUAAACUCUGCACACUAAACAUUAGUACCUCCUCGAGAGGUAUUAGUGCUGAAGGGAAGCCGAAGAGUGUGCUACCUGGGAAGUAUAGUCGCAAGGCCG